CAGAUAAAAUGGUUAAAUGUUUAUAAACUGCUUUUUGUAGUUGAACUGUAGAUCAGAAAACAUUCUUCGACAAACCUCCUCUGGAAAAAGCAGAUGAUGUCAUGUUUUGCCAAGUCCUUCCUUUCAAGUACUUUUGUCAGAAAUGGGACUACCUGUUCAUCCAGCUCCGCUUCGUGUAUGUCCUCCAAAAGUAACACCUUCAGUGGUUGUCACCAUGCUGCUCUUCUCAGCCUGGCCCCGGGGACACGCUGUCUGUAUGCUGGGUCACAGUGGCACCAGUGCCUGCUUUCAGGAGAAGCCUUGCGGUCAGACAAGCAGUGCCUGAAUUCACAUUACAUUUCACUGCAGGACAGUCACAUUGGGCUCUCCUACAGUGCCGAAAGGGCACCUGCUGCCUCUUCAUAAAGUCCUGUCCCACUGCAUCUUUUACUGCUGUAUUUGCAAGGUUAGACAGCUUGGGAUAUACUUGCUCGUGCUGCAAUUGUAACUGAGCACUACAUGCACAUCAUAAAGCACUCCUUGCACUGCUUGGGUUGGAGAAAAAGGGGACUUCAAGCUGCCUAUGGUACAGGCUGACUGAGGGAACAUCAAAAGCACCCUCCUUUGAUUCCUGAUCCCAAACUGAACUGUUAGUUGGGGUUUUUUUCAUGGGAGUGAGGAGAUCAGGGAACCAAAAAACAAUCUACCUCACAACUCAAGUGAACCAGUUCUCUUGUCAUCUUUCAGAGACUGACAAGAUUUUACUUAAGUUUCUGUUGGAAGCCAAACAAUCGUUAGCCAGAUGGUAAGCUACUAAAGAACCAGAAGAUAAGGGCCACUCUCUUCACUUCCUCUCAAAAUCCAUUAGCAUCAACCUCAAUCAAUUAUCUUGUGUUGAACUGUCCUCAAGCCAAAUGACUUACCCAGUUCUUGCACAUCUUCUCUCCCCAGCAGCAGCUUUGUUUUCCAUCUACUACUCCUCACCCUCCUCUCCUUCAGGGGUCCCGGAAACAUCUGCACCAUUAGCAACCACUUUGGCUUCAAACUCCUUUUUCAAAAGGCACCGCGACAUGACAACGUUUUAGGAAACAGAUCUUCUGUUUCCAUGCAGGUUACCAAGAUCUAUAAAGCUGCAACCAUCCGAAUGAGUGGAAGAGAUACUGAAUGCACCGUGCUGUCCCUGGGGGUUA
RNAcentral lists this long non-coding RNA (1169 nucleotides) under Strigops habroptila (Kakapo). RNAcentral's name for it is "lncRNA (ENSSHBG00005019900.1)". The record is from RNAcentral. Lineage: Eukaryota; Metazoa; Chordata; Aves; Psittaciformes; Psittacidae.